CCUACGGGUGGCAGCAGUGGGGAAUAUUGCACAAUGGGGGAAACCCUGAUGCAGCAACGCCGCGUGAGGGAAGACGGUUUUCGGAUUGUAAACCUCUGUUCGUAGGGAAGAAAAAUGACGGUAGCGAAGGAGCAAGCCACGGCAAAUACGGGGCAGCAGCCGCGGGUAAACGUAGGGGGCAAGCGUUAUCCGGGAUUACUGGGGGGAAAGGGAGCGGAGGCGGGAGGGCAAGUCAGGUGUGAAAAGCUCGGGCUUAACCUGUGGACCGCAUUUGAAACUGUGUUUCUUGAGUGCAGGAGAGGUUGGUGGAAUUCCGAGUGUAGCGGUGAAAUGCGUAGAUAUUCGGAGGAACACCAGUGGCGAAGGCGGCUCACUGGGCUUUAACUGACGUUGAGGCUCGAAAGUGUGGGGAGCAAACAGGAUUAGAUACCCUAGUAGUC
Molecule: ribosomal RNA, 440 nt
Filed under: uncultured bacterium
Lineage: Bacteria
Description: partial 16S ribosomal RNA
Rfam family: Bacterial small subunit ribosomal RNA
Source: RNAcentral